This 23-nucleotide small nuclear RNA is filed under the name Arabidopsis thaliana (thale cress). Its description in RNAcentral is "snRNA_11364". Lineage: Eukaryota; Viridiplantae; Streptophyta; Magnoliopsida; Brassicales; Brassicaceae. The record is from RNAcentral.
ACUCAUUUUAACAAUACCACCGA